Ovis aries (sheep) is the source of this 72-nucleotide transfer RNA. It matches the Rfam family "tRNA". From Rfam's summary of the family: Transfer RNA (tRNA) molecules are approximately 80 nucleotides in length. Lineage: Eukaryota; Metazoa; Chordata; Mammalia; Artiodactyla; Bovidae. The record is from Rfam.
UCCCUAAUGGUCCAGUAGUUAAGACUCUGUGCUCCUAAUGUAGGGGCCUGGGUUCAAUCCCCAGUUAGGGAA